GUUUGAUCCUGGCUCAGGAUGAGCGCUGGCGGCGUGCCUAAUACAUGCAAGUCGAGCGAACCCUUCGGGGUUAGCGGCGGACGGGUGAGUAACACGUGGGUAACCUGCCUAUAAGACUGGGAUAACUUCGGGAAACCGUAGCUAAUACCGGAUAUAUUUUUGGUUCACAUGAACCAAAAUGGAAAGGCGGCUUUUGCUGUCACUUAUAGAUGGACCCGCGGCGCAUUAGCUAGUUGGUGAGGUAACGGCUCACCAAGGCGACGAUGCGUAGCCGACCUGAGAGGGUGAUCGGCCACACUGGGACUGAGACACGGCCCAGACUCCUACGGGAGGCAGCAGUAGGGAAUCUUCGGCAAUGGGCGAAAGCCUGACCGAGCAACGCCGCGUGAGCGAUGAAGGCCUUCGGGUCGUAAAGCUCUGUUGUUAGGGAAGAACAAGUAUCAGUUAAAUAAGCUGGUACCUUGACGGUACCUAACGAGAAAGCCACGGCUAACUACGUGCCAGCAGCCGCGGUAAUACGUAGGUGGCGAGCGUUGUCCGGAAUUAUUGGGCGUAAAGCGCGCGC
Molecule: ribosomal RNA, 565 nt
Filed under: uncultured bacterium
Lineage: Bacteria
Description: bacterial SSU rRNA
Rfam family: Bacterial small subunit ribosomal RNA
Source: RNAcentral